This 249-nucleotide ribosomal RNA is filed under the name uncultured bacterium. Its description in RNAcentral is "partial 16S ribosomal RNA". It matches the Rfam family "Bacterial small subunit ribosomal RNA", at positions 524 to 772 of the family's 1533-position model. The record is from RNAcentral.
UACGAAGGGUGCAAGCGUUACUCGGAAUUACUGGGCGUAAAGCGUGCGUAGGUGGUUUGUUAAGUCUGUUGUGAAAGCCCCGGGCUCAACCUGGGAAUGGCAAUGGAUACUGGCAAGCUAGAGUGCGGUAGAGGGUAGUGGAAUUCCCGGUGUAGCGGUGAAAUGCGUAGAGAUCGGGAGGAACACCAGUGGCGAAGGCGGCUACCUGGACCAGCACUGACACUGAGGCACGAAAGCGUGGGGAGCAAC